This 492-nucleotide ribosomal RNA is filed under the name uncultured bacterium. RNAcentral's name for it is "partial 16S ribosomal RNA". It matches the Rfam family "Bacterial small subunit ribosomal RNA", at positions 29 to 507 of the family's 1533-position model. The record is from RNAcentral.
AGUGAACGCUGGCGGUAGGCCUAACACAUGCAAGUCGAACGGCAGCACGGUAAGAGCUUGCUCUUACGGGUGGCGAGUGGCGGACGGGUGAGGAAUACAUCGGAAUCUACUUUUUCGUGGGGGAUAACGUAGGGAAACUUACGCUAAUACCGCAUACGACCUACGGGUGAAAGCAGGGGAUCUUCGGACCUUGCGCGAUUGAAUGAGCCGAUGUCGGAUUAGCUAGUUGGCGGGGUAAAGGCCCACCAAGGCGACGAUCCGUAGCUGGUCUGAGAGGAUGAUCAGCCACACUGGAACUGAGACACGGUCCAGAGUCCUACGGGAGGCAGCAGUGGGGAAUAUUGGACAAUGGGCGCAAGCCUGAUCCAGCCAUACCGCGUGGGUGAAGAAGGCCUUCGGGUUGUAAAGCCCUUUUGUUGGAAAAGAAAAGCAGCAGGUUAAUACCCCGCUGUUCUGACGGUACCCAAAGAAUAAGCACCGGCUAACUUCGUG